Molecule: ribosomal RNA, 245 nt
Filed under: uncultured archaeon
Lineage: Archaea
Description: partial 16S ribosomal RNA
Rfam family: Archaeal small subunit ribosomal RNA
Source: RNAcentral
UACUAGCUGUUCAAGUCGCAGCCAUCUUUAUUGGGUCUAAAAUAUCCGUAGCUUGCUUAAGAAGUUCCUUGUGAAAUCUUGUCUCCCAAGGGCGAGGCGUGCAAGGAAUACUCUUGAGCUUGAGAUUGGAAGACGUAAGAAGUACGUUCGGAGUAGCGGUAAAAUGUGUUAAUCCCGGACGGACUCACAACAGCGAAGGCAUCUUACGAGGACAGUUCUGACAGUUAAGGAUGAAGGCUAGGGGC